This 696-nucleotide ribosomal RNA is filed under the name Triticum aestivum (bread wheat). RNAcentral's name for it is "partial small subunit ribosomal RNA". Lineage: Eukaryota; Viridiplantae; Streptophyta; Magnoliopsida; Poales; Poaceae. The record is from RNAcentral.
AUGGCGACGGAAGGGGUGAAGAGAGGGGCAUGGACUGGCAAGGAGGACGAAACCUUGGCUUCCUACGUCAAGGCGCAUGGCGAAGGCAGAUGGAACGAAGUCCCCCAGAGAGCUGGUCUUCGGCGGUGCGGCAAGAGCUGUCGGCUGCGGUGGCUGAACUACCUCCGGCCGAACAUCAAGCGGGGAAACAUAUCCAACGAUGAGGAGGACACCAUCGUCAGGCUCCACGCUCUCCUUGGCAACAGGUGGUCGCUCAUCGCUGGCAGGUUGCCCGGCCGAACAGACAACGAAAUCAAGAACUACUGGAAUAGCACCCUUGGCCGGAAGGUGCUUCCCGCACCACAUUCCGCCACCAGGAUGGUUGCCACGCCAGACACCUCCGCCGGCUCCGGAUCUUACACAGAGGCGUCGGCAAGUCUGUCUAGCUCUGGACCUGGUACAAGCGACAAGGCUGCGACGCCGUCGCCGCUGCCGGCCACGCUGUGGGCGCCAAAGCCUGUGAGGCACACGGGGCACCCCUUCUUCCUCCGGGAUAGGCCGCCGCCCUUGCCGGUUGCGGAGACGCGAACCGUGGCCAACGGGGAUGCCUGCAGCGGCAGCAGCUCGGUGACAUCGGAGUUCCCGGCUGUACCGCCCUCGUUAGGCAGUGACGACUGGAUGCACGAAGUGAGAGGGUUAACAUUUCAGAAAGCAUAG